This 495-nucleotide ribosomal RNA is filed under the name Metschnikowia taurica. RNAcentral describes it as "partial large subunit ribosomal RNA". It matches the Rfam family "Eukaryotic large subunit ribosomal RNA", at positions 55 to 698 of the family's 3401-position model. Lineage: Eukaryota; Fungi; Ascomycota; Pichiomycetes; Serinales; Metschnikowiaceae. The record is from RNAcentral.
GGAAAAGAAACCAACCGGGAUUGCCUCAGUAACGGCGAGUGAAGCGGCAAAAGCUCAAGAUUGAAAUCUUCGGAAUUGUAUCAACACCACAGGCCGCGACAAGUCCGUUGGAACACGGCGCCACAGAGGGUGACAGCCCCGUAACGCANGCCAUUUUGGUNACAUUGAGUCGAGUUGUUUGGGAAUGCAGCUCUAAGGGGUGGUAAAUUCCAUCCAAAGCUAAAUACCGGCGAGAGACCGAUAGCGAACAAGUACAGUGAUGGAAAGAUGAAAAGCACUUUGAAAAGAGAGUGAAACAGUACGUGAAAUUGUUGGAAGGGAAGGGGUGCGGCGGCAGCGGAAGAAGUGUUGGGAGGAGAGUACAAAGAAGCGUAAAGUGGGUUUCCUACCGUGCGCUUUUAUGCUCUCUCUCCCGUCCCUUUUUCCCCCUUUCCGCCCCACCCACCCGUCUUGAAACACGGACCAAGGAGUCUAACGUCCAUGCGAGUGUUUGGG